GGGCGUAAGGGUGCGUAGGCGGUUUUGUAAGUCAGAGGUGAANCCCCGGGCUCAACCUGGGAACUGCCUUUGAUACUGGAAGUCUUGAGUAUGGUUGAGGGAGGUGGAAUUCCUAGUGUAGCGGUGAAAUGCGUAGAUAUUAGUAGGAACACCAAUGGCGAAGGCAAGUUCCUGGGCUAUAACUGACGCUGAUGUACGAAAGCGUGGGGAGCAAACAGGAUUAGAUACCCUGGUAGUCCACGCCGUAAACGAUGUCAACUCGUUGUUGGGGUUUUUGGUUCUUAGACGGCGCA
This 293-nucleotide ribosomal RNA is filed under the name uncultured bacterium. RNAcentral describes it as "partial 16S ribosomal RNA". It matches the Rfam family "Bacterial small subunit ribosomal RNA", at positions 556 to 850 of the family's 1533-position model. The record is from RNAcentral.